This 357-nucleotide RNase P RNA is filed under the name Bacteroides sp. RNAcentral describes it as "RNase P RNA component class A". It matches the Rfam family "Bacterial RNase P class A". Rfam says of the family: Ribonuclease P (RNase P) is a ubiquitous endoribonuclease, found in archaea, bacteria and eukarya as well as chloroplasts and mitochondria. Its best characterised activity is the generation of mature 5'-ends of tRNAs by cleaving the 5'-leader elements of precursor-tRNAs. The record is from RNAcentral. Lineage: Bacteria; Pseudomonadati; Bacteroidota; Bacteroidia; Bacteroidales; Bacteroidaceae.
GCAGUUGGCCGGCUUGUCGCUGGUGUUUUAAACACGAGAGGAAAGUCCGGGCAACACAGAGCAUCCUACUUCCUAACAGAAAGCCGUCCGCGAGGGCAGAGUAACGCAGAAGAAAACAACCGCCACCCCGUGUGGUAAGGGUGAGAAGGUGGGGUAAGAGCCCACCAGGCUUAUGGCGACAUAAGUGCUGUGCGUCUUAGGAGUUGUAAGGUCAUGUAAACCGGCGCUAUGAGGGUUGCUCGCCCCAUGUCGGAGGGUAGACCGCUAAAGUUGUAUGGUGACAUGCAACGCAGAUAAAUGACAGGCACCUUGCCCUAGGGUAAGGCACAGAACCCGGCUUAUAGGCCAACUGCUUUU